RNAcentral lists this ribosomal RNA (1016 nucleotides) under Tylopilus plumbeoviolaceoides. Its description in RNAcentral is "SSU rRNA". It matches the Rfam family "Eukaryotic small subunit ribosomal RNA", at positions 3 to 1020 of the family's 1831-position model. The record is from RNAcentral. Lineage: Eukaryota; Fungi; Basidiomycota; Agaricomycetes; Boletales; Boletaceae.
CCUGGUUGAUCCUGCCAGUAGUCAUAUGCUUGUCUCAAAGAUUAAGCCAUGCAUGUCCAAGUAUAAACAAGUGUUUACGGUGAAACUGCGAAUGGCUCAUUAAAUCAGUUAUAGUUUAUUUGAUGAUGACUUGCUACAUGGAUAACUGUGGUAAUUCUAGAGCUAAUACAUGCGAUCAAAGCCCUGACCGUCCGGGAGGGGUGUAUUUAUUAGAUAAAAGACCAGCGCGGCUCGCCGCUCGCUUGGUGAUUCAUAAUAACUGUUCGAAUCGCACGGCCUUGUGCCGGCGAUGCUUCAUUCAAAUAUCUGCCCUAUCAACUGUCGAUGGUAGGAUAGAGGCCUACCAUGGUUUCAACGGGUAACGGGGAAUAAGGGUUCGAUUCCGGAGAGGGAGCCUGAGAAACGGCUACCACAUCCAAGGAAGGCAGCAGGCGCGCAAAUUACCCAAUCCCGAUUCGGGGAGGUAGUGACAAUAAAUAACGAUAUAGGGCUCUUUCGGGUCUUAUAAUUGGAAUGAGUACAAUUUAAAUCUCUUAACGAGGAACGAUUGGAGGGCAAGUCUGGUGCCAGCAGCCGCGGUAAUUCCAGCUCCAAUAGCGUAUAUUAAAGUUGUUGCAGUUAAAAAGCUCGUAGUUGAACUUUGGGCCUGGACGGGCGGUCUGCCGAAAGGUGUCGUACUGUCCGGCCGGGCCUUUCCUCUUGGUGAGCCGGGGUGCCCUUUGUUGGGUGCGUCGGGGAACCAGGACGUUUACCUUGAGAAAAUUAGAGUGUUCAAAGCAGGCCUAUCGCCGGGAUACAUUAGCAUGGAAUAAUGAAAUAGGACGUGCGGUUCUAUUUUGUUGGUUUCUAGAGUCGCCGUAAUGAUUGAUAGGGACAGUUGGGGGCAUUAGUAUUCAGUCGCUAGAGGUGAAAUUCUUGGAUUGACUGAAGACUGACUACUGCGAAAGCAUUUGCCAAGGAUGUUUUCAUUAAUCAAGAACGAAGGUUAGGGGAUCGAAAACGAUCAGAUACCGUUG